This 621-nucleotide ribosomal RNA is filed under the name uncultured bacterium. RNAcentral's name for it is "bacterial SSU rRNA". It matches the Rfam family "Bacterial small subunit ribosomal RNA", at positions 338 to 949 of the family's 1533-position model. The record is from RNAcentral.
CCUACGGGAGGCAGCAGUAGGGAAUCUUCCGCAAUGGACGAAAGUCUGACGGAGCAACGCCGCGUGAACGAUGAAGGCCUUCGGGUCGUAAAGUUCUGUUGUUAGGGAAGAACAAGUGCUAGUUAAAUAAGCUGGCACCUUGACGGUACCUAACCAGAAAGCCACGGCUAACUACGUGCCAGCAGCCGCGGUAAUACGUAGGUGGCAAGCGUUGUCCGGAAUUAUUGGGCGUAAAGCGCGCGCAGGCGGUUUCUUAAGUCUGAUGUGAAAGCCCCCGGCUCAACCGGGGAGGGUCAUUGGAAACUGGGAAACUUGAGUGCAGAAGAGGAAAGUGGAAUUCCAAGUGUAGCGGUGAAAUGCGUAGAGAUUUGGAGGAACACCAGUGGCGAAGGCGACUUUCUGGUCUGUAACUGACGCUGAGGCGCGAAAGCGUGGGGAGCAAACAGGAUUAGAUACCCCGGUAGUCCACGCUGUAAACGAUGAGUGCUAAGUGUUAGAGGGUUUCCGCCCUUUAGUGCUGAAGUUAACGCAUUAAGCACUCCGCCUGGGGAGUACGGUCGCAAGACUGAAACUCAAAGAUAGUCGCGNGNGAGNGCGACGACGACGACGACGGAGGAGGAG